This 69-nucleotide transfer RNA is filed under the name Cavia aperea (Brazilian guinea pig). Its description in RNAcentral is "tRNA-Ser". It matches the Rfam family "tRNA". Rfam says of the family: Transfer RNA (tRNA) molecules are approximately 80 nucleotides in length. Their secondary structure includes four short double-helical elements and three loops (D, anti-codon, and T loops). Lineage: Eukaryota; Metazoa; Chordata; Mammalia; Rodentia; Caviidae. The record is from RNAcentral.
AAGAGGGUCAUAAGGGUUAUGGGGUUGGCUUGAAACCAGCUUUAGGGGGUUCAAUUCCUUCCUCUCUUG